AUUGAACGCUGGCGGCAGGCCUAACACAUGCAAGUCGAGCGGAUGAAGGGAGCUUGCUCCUGGAUUCAGCGGCGGACGGGUGAGUAAUGCCUAGGAAUCUGCCUGGUAGUGGGGGAUAACGUCCGGAAACGGGCGCUAAUACCGCAUACGUCCUGAGGGAGCAAGUGGGGGAUCUUCGGACCUCACGCUAUCAGAUGAGCCUAGGUCGGAUUAGCUAGUUGGUGGGGUAAAGGCCUACCAAGGCGACGAUCCGUAACUGGUCUGAGAGGAUGAUCAGUCACACUGGAACUGAGACACGGUCCAGACUCCUACGGGAGGCAGCAGUGGGGAAUAUUGGACGAUGGGCGAAAGCCUGAUCCAGCCAUGCCGCGUGUGUGAAGAAGGUCUUCGGAUUGUAGAGCACUUUAAGUUGGGAGGAAGGGCAGUAAGUUAAUACCUUGCGGUUUUGACGGUACCAACAGAAUAAGCACCGGCUAACUUCGUG
Molecule: ribosomal RNA, 484 nt
Filed under: uncultured bacterium
Lineage: Bacteria
Description: partial 16S ribosomal RNA
Rfam family: Bacterial small subunit ribosomal RNA
Source: RNAcentral